UGCCAACAUACAGCAUGGUCAGAGAUCAC
RNAcentral lists this non-coding RNA (29 nucleotides) under Mus musculus (house mouse). Lineage: Eukaryota; Metazoa; Chordata; Mammalia; Rodentia; Muridae. The record is from RNAcentral.